Long non-coding RNA from Antechinus flavipes (yellow-footed antechinus), 1763 nucleotides. RefSeq lists it as uncharacterized. The transcript is spliced from 6 exons. NCBI's taxonomy places the organism in Eukaryota, Metazoa, Chordata, Mammalia, Dasyuromorphia, Dasyuridae. The record is from RefSeq and is a predicted model, not a curated record.
ACAGACAGACAGACAAACAUUGGGAGGAAAAAGGAGGUGUCAAAGACCACUUUGACCAAGAAUUACUUCCAGCUUUCAAAUAUAUUGAGAGAAGCAUCAUUCUAAUUAGGCUGGGCCAUGGAAUAUAUCAUGGCAUUAAGGAAGCAUGAUGAGAGAAGGAGAAUAAAUUUGGUAACAAAAUGUUAGCUUUUUAUUUUGAUGGGGGAAGUGGCUGAUGUAUUUUGAUGUGGAAAACUGUUGCAUUUAUUUGACAUAUACAUGAUUUUAAUGACUAAUAAAUUAAUAGGAAAAAUAUCACUGACACCAACAUUUUUCUUUUGAACCUCUUCUUGUGAGGUGUUAUUAAGGAAAUGAGAUCCCUUAUACAGCUCCAUUCAGAAGGACCUAAGAGGUGCAGUAGACACUGAGUGUCAAGCAUCAAUUCAGAGGCUUGUAAUGAAAUGGAUAGUGAGAGAAAAACGCGGAGCUACACAGCUGUAUGCCUCCUCUCCGCCAUCUUAACCGGGACUACAGAUUUAUACUAGAUCAAGCCUCUGAACCGGUUUUGGAGUGACAGAACCCACAAAUAAUUGGAGUGUAACAAAUUUCCAGCAGAAGAUAUUUUGGAAAAACUUCAUAAAAGGACAGAGUGUGCAAGUCAGAUUCUUUCAGGUGAGGAAGAGACAAAACCAAUGGAUCCCCAGCUGGGAAAUAUGAUGAGAAACACCAUUGGUUUGUGGACAACAUCAUAUAUACUGUGUACAUUCAUCUUUUUCACCUAUAUAAAAAGGCUUCAGAAAAAACACUCUUUUGUGGCACAUGCAUGGGAUGCUGUCAGUGACUUAUUCAAUGGAAGUGGGUGUUUGUAUUUGUUAUUUGUGGACAAAGCACAGUUGUCCAGGAAUUAUUCCUAAGGAGGAUUGGAUAAACUGGUGUUCUUGGAUCCUCAUUUUGAUCUUCAUCCUAAUCUUAAUAAUAUUUAUUUUAAAAUUUAUAAUUUGAUAUUUUUCUUCUUUUUUUAUGAUACUGCUUUUUUCAAUGAAUUUCACCAAUAUUGAGAGUAUCAUCUUUUUGAUGCCUAUAUUAAGGGUAUUUUUUUUGGUUUUUCUUCCCUUCAUUCUUUUAAAGUAGAGAACUGUUCCUGGGGCAAAGUGGUCAUUAUCCCCAGCUUCCUGUCCAGCUCUGAGCCUUGGCUUUGAAUACAGGCACCCCUUGUGUUUGCAGGGGGAAGCUUUGCCUGCUCUGUUCAGGAAACAUCCUGAUUUCCCAGAGUUUGUCUUCUAACCUGGGACUGGAAACUCCCUUCCUGCUGUGCUCCUCUACUGAGCCAGGACUGGCGGUCUUAGUUGCUCAUGUUCUGUGAUGAAGACCCUCUCUCUGGCUUUCCCACAGUCUAUCUGAGCUGACCUGAACCCCCUUUUCACCCCAGUGAGACUGACAUUUCUUGAAGUUUUUACAGUCUAUCUUGAGCUGGAGAGCGGUUUCAUUCCAUCAGACUCUAUUCAGAAGUUUGGUUUCAUGUGGUUUUCGAGGGAGAACUCAAGCUGCUUCCUAACUUUACAAUCUUGGCUCCAUCUCAGAAGUCUUUUCUUCCCAUUCUUAUUUAAAGCAUUGAGUUCCAAAUUCUAACCCUCUCUCCCUUCUUCCCUGCCCCCCAAGAUUGUAAGUUCUUAUAUAUAAUUUACAUAUACACAAUUAUGUAAGGACAUUUGCACAUUACUCCUUUUGUAUAAGAAGACUCAAAUAAAAUAAAAAUCCAAUAAAGUAAUAAGUUGGAUGGUUCA